UGCCAGCAGGGUAAGUUCACGGUGAGUGAAA
This 31-nucleotide non-coding RNA is filed under the name Mus musculus (house mouse). Lineage: Eukaryota; Metazoa; Chordata; Mammalia; Rodentia; Muridae. The record is from RNAcentral.